RNAcentral lists this ribosomal RNA (484 nucleotides) under uncultured bacterium. RNAcentral's name for it is "partial 16S ribosomal RNA". It matches the Rfam family "Bacterial small subunit ribosomal RNA", at positions 28 to 523 of the family's 1533-position model. The record is from RNAcentral.
GAUGAACGCUGGCGGCGUGCUUAACACAUGCAGGUCGAACGGUGAAGCAGGAGCUUGCUCUUGUGGAUCAGUGGCGAACGGGUGAGUAACACGUGAGCAACCUGCCCCUGACUCUGGGAUAAGCGCUGGAAACGGCGUCUAAUACUGGAUAUGUGAUGUGACCGCAUGGUCUGCAUCUGGAAAGAAUUUCGGUUGGGGAUGGGCUCGCGGCCUAUCAGCUUGUUGGUGAGGUAAUGGCUCACCAAGGCGUCGACGGGUAGCCGGCCUGAGAGGGUGACCGGCCACACUGUGACUGUGACACGGCACAGGCUCCUGCUGGAGGCAACAGUGGGUAAUUUUGCACGAUGGGCGGGAGCCUGAUGCAGCAACGCCGCGUGAGGGAUGACGGCCUUCGGGUUGUAAUCCUCUUUUAGCAGGGAAGAAGCGAAAGUGACGGUACCUGCAGAAAAAGCACCGGCUAACUACGUGCCAGCCGCCGCAGUAA